This 157-nucleotide non-coding RNA is filed under the name uncultured Prevotella sp. The record is from RNAcentral. Lineage: Bacteria; Pseudomonadati; Bacteroidota; Bacteroidia; Bacteroidales; Prevotellaceae.
UGGUUCACCAGCAAUGGUGACUAAGAGGGAAUCGGGUGAAAAUCCCGAACAGUCCCGCUGCUGUAAGUAGCCCUUAGCGGUGUAAACACGAUGCCACUGUCCUACUGACGGGAAGGCGUUUACACUGGGCUACAAGUCAGAAGACCUGCCGUUGACG